This 592-nucleotide ribosomal RNA is filed under the name uncultured bacterium. RNAcentral's name for it is "partial 16S ribosomal RNA". It matches the Rfam family "Bacterial small subunit ribosomal RNA", at positions 355 to 1376 of the family's 1533-position model. The record is from RNAcentral.
UGGGGAAUCUUCCGCAAUGGACGAAAGUCUGACGGAGCAACGCCGCGUGAGUGAAGAAGGUUUUCGGAUCGUAAAACUCUGUCUUUUGGGGCGAACGUGAGUAUGGUGAACAAUCAUAGUCAGUGACGGUACCAAAGGAGGAAGCCACGGCUAACUACGUGCCAGCAGCCGCGGUAAUACGUAGGUGGCAAGCGUUGUCCGGAAUUAUUGGGCGUAAAGAGCGCGUAGGCGGGAUAGUCAGUCUGUUGUAAAAGUGCGGGGCUCAACCCCGUGAUGGCAAUGGAAACAGCUAUUCUUGAGUGCAGGAGAGGAAAGGUGGAAUUCCCAGUGUAGCGGUGAAAUGCGUAGAUAUUGGGAGGAACACCAGUGGCGAAGGCGACUUUCUGGACUGUGUCUGACGCUGAGGCGCNAAAGCCAGGGGGAGCGAACGGGAUUAGAUACCCCGGUAGUCCUGGCCGUAAACGAUGGGUACUAGGUGUGGGAGGUAUCGACCCCCUUCCGUGCCGGAGUUAACGCAAUAAGUACCCCGCCUGGGGAGUACGGUCGCAAGACUGAAACUCAAAGGAAUUGACGGGGUCAUAGCUGUUUCCUG